RNAcentral lists this ribosomal RNA (1467 nucleotides) under Triticum aestivum (bread wheat). RNAcentral describes it as "partial small subunit ribosomal RNA". The record is from RNAcentral. Lineage: Eukaryota; Viridiplantae; Streptophyta; Magnoliopsida; Poales; Poaceae.
AUGGACGGGGGCCAGAGCGUCGCCAAGCGGCACGGCGCGGCCGCGGCCGCCGGCGCCGAGGAGGACCCUGAGCGGCACCGUGCUCUACAUGAGGCGGCGGAUGAUCACGAUGGUGGCGACAAGAAGGCGCCUCGCCGGAGCAGCAGCAGGCGGGUCGCCUCCCUCGACGUCUUCCGUGGCCUCACCGUCGCUCUGAUGAUACUGGUGGACGGCGCCGGCGGCGAGUGGCCGGUCAUCGGGCACGCGCCGUGGCACGGCUGCAACCUCGCCGACUUCGUCAUGCCCUGCUUCCUCUUCAUCGUUGGCAUGGCCAUCCCCCUAUCCCUCAAGAGGAUCCCAGACCGCAGCCGGGCGAUCAGGAGAGUAGUCAUAAGAACACUGAAGCUGCUUUUCUGGGGGAUCUUGCUGCAAGGUGGCUACUCCCAUGCUCCAGAUGAACUCACCUAUGGUGUUGACAUGAAGCACAUAAGAUGGUGUGGUAUCCUCCAGAGGAUUGCCCUUGCAUACUUGGUGGUUGCAGUUAUGGAGAUCGCAACAAAAGACGCGAGGGUUCAGGAUCAGUCAAGUUCAGGCUUCUUCUCAGUUUUCAGGCUGUACCUUUCCCAAUGGAUUGUCGCAUGUUGCAUUCUCCUGAUCUACUUGUCCCUUGUUUACGGGAUUUACGUUCCGGACUGGGAGUUCACGGUGCGAAAUGUCGACAGCCCAAACUAUGGCAAAGUUUUAACAGUGACCUGUGGCACAAGGGGAAAUCUGAGCCCUCCUUGCAAUGCUGUAGGUUACAUCGACCGUAAAGUUCUCGGCAUCAAUCACCUGUACCAGAAACCUGCAUGGAGGAGGCACAGGGACUGUACUGAUGAUUCCCCACACGAGGGGCCUUUCAAAAGGGACGCCCCGGCCUGGUGUGCCUCGCCAUUUGAACCUGAAGGCUUACUAAGCUCAUUUUCUGCGGUGUUAAGUACGAUCAUCGGCGUACACUACGGGCACGUGCUUGUUCAUAUGAAGAGUCACAUGGACAGGCUAAAGCAGUGGGUCACCAUGGGCAUAGCUCUCCUCCUCCUCGGAAUCAUUCUGCACUUCUCUCAUGCGAUUCCUCUGAACAAACAGCUGUACACGCUCAGUUACAUCUGCGUGACCGCCGGCGCCGCUGGCAUCGUCUUCUCCAUGCUUUACUUCCUUGUCGACGUCGUGAGCCUGCGUUAUGUCUUCGCACCACUGCGGUGGGUCGGCAUGAACGCGAUGCUGGUGUACGUGAUGGCGGCGGCCGGCAUCUUCGAGGGUUUCCUCAACGGCUGGUACUACGACGGGACCAACAACACGCUGGUUUACUGGGUGAGGAAGCACGUGUUCGUCCGGGUGUGGCACUCGGAGAGGGUGGGCAUCCUCCUCUACGUCCUCGUCUCGCAGAUCCUGCUCUGGGCGCUCCUCGCCGGCCUCCUCCACCGGGCCGGGGUCUACUGGAAGCUGUAG